This 1365-nucleotide long non-coding RNA is filed under the name Canis lupus familiaris (dog). Its description in RNAcentral is "lncRNA (ENSCAFG00030015142.1)". Lineage: Eukaryota; Metazoa; Chordata; Mammalia; Carnivora; Canidae. The record is from RNAcentral.
AUGCCCGGGUCGGGGGCACGACGCGGAGCAGCGAGGUGUGGGUGCACAGAGCCGAGCGGCGCGGGAGCUUCCGAGUGCCCUCCCUCCCCCUCCUCCCUCCUCCCUCCUCCCUCCUCCCUCCUCUUCCACCGCUUUCCCUCCUUCCGCCGCGACUCCCGAGACCGUUCGCGCCCCGCCCCGCCCCGCCUGACCCUGGCCCCGCCCCGCCCCAUCCCCCGCCCCAUCCCCCGCCUGACCCUGGCCCCGCCCAAGCCCCGCCCAAGCCCCGCCCCGCAUUGGCCCCGCCCAACCUCCGCCCCCAAUCCCCGCCCCGCCUGGCCCUGGCCCCGCCCCCAAGCCCCGCCCCGCCCCGCCUGGCCCCGCCCCCAAGCCCCGGCCCAAUCCCCGCCUGACCCUGGCCCCGCCUUGGCCCCGCCCAACCUCCGCCCCCAAGCCCCGCCCCGCCUGGCCCUGGCCCCGCCCCCAGCCCCGCCCCGCCCGCCCCUGGCCCCGCCCCAAGCCCCGUCCCGCCCGGGUCUCGGUCCCAGCCCCGCCCUCUGUUCCGUCUCCGCCCGGCUCCCCGACCCCCGACCGGACCUGACCGCGGCCCCCGGCCCCGACCCGCCGCGACCCCGGACCUGCCCCGAUUCCAGACCCCGGCCCUGCUCCGCCCACCUCGGUCCAGGUUCCGCCCCCAACCCCGAGUCAGCUCGGCCCCGGCCCCGGCCCCGGCCCCGGCCCCGGCCCCACCCGCCGCAACUUGGGUCCCGACUCGGCCCAGCCCCUACUCCCCACCCCCCAGCCCCCAGCCCCCACCCCACCCCCUCCCCGGCCUACGCGGUGGGGGGGAGCGGCACCUGGGCUCGGCCAAACCCCAACCCCGCCCCGCACCCCGUGCACCUGCCGGCCUUCCCGGGAGAGCAGGGUGCAGGGCCUCGGGUGGGUCAGGUGACUGGCCUCGCGCUUAGACCCAGUCGUUUGCUCUGGGCCGCUAGGCCUGGCCGCAGCCCGGCUGGAGUGGGGCUCGAGUGGGGCUGGGCGGGACCCGGAGCUCCCAGAAACCAGGCUGCCACCCGCGGGGCAGACCCAGAGGGAGCGGGCCAGGGGAGGGCGCCGCCUGGGCGCCAGCCCCUCCUGGUUGGGGAUCCCGUCAGGUUGGCUGACUCCCUGCGACCUGCUCUCUGGUCGAUGACAUCCACCCCGAGGGUUUUUGUGACGUUCAUUGAGAUCAUGUACGCGAGGUUCUUGGCGCAGGAUAACACAGAAUGGGAGAUAAGUCUAUCCACAGGUCAGACUGAGCUACAUGAAAGCAGAAAGGCACGGGGAGGCUUUGGGGGAAAACCCACUCUCCUGCUUUUGGGGACAGAAUGGACUCACUGCUCCUGA